This 1281-nucleotide ribosomal RNA is filed under the name Escherichia coli. RNAcentral's name for it is "partial 23S ribosomal RNA". It matches the Rfam family "Bacterial large subunit ribosomal RNA", at positions 255 to 1578 of the family's 2925-position model. The record is from RNAcentral. Lineage: Bacteria; Pseudomonadati; Pseudomonadota; Gammaproteobacteria; Enterobacterales; Enterobacteriaceae.
GAACGGGGAGCAGCCCAGAGCCUGAAUCAGUAUGUGUGUUAGUGGAAGCGUCUGGAAAGGCGCGCGAUACAGGGUGACAGCCCCGUACACAAAAAUGCACAUGCUGUGAGCUCGAUGAGUAGGGCGGGACACGUGGUAUCCUGUCUGAAUAUGGGGGGACCAUCCUCCAAGGCUAAAUACUCCUGACUGACCGAUAGUGAACCAGUACCGUGAGGGAAAGGCGAAAAGAACCCCGGCGAGGGGAGUGAAAAAGAACCUGAAACCGUGUACGUACAAGCAGUGGGAGCACGCUUAGGCGUGUGACUGCGUACCUUUUGUAUAAUGGGUCAGCGACUUAUAUUCUGUAGCAAGGUUAACCGAAUAGGGGAGCCGAAGGGAAACCGAGUCUUAACUGGGCGUUAAGUUGCAGGGUAUAGACCCGAAACCCGGUGAUCUAGCCAUGGGCAGGUUGAAGGUUGGGUAACACUAACUGGAGGACCGAACCGACUAAUGUUGAAAAAUUAGCGGAUGACUUGUGGCUGGGGGUGAAAGGCCAAUCAAACCGGGAGAUAGCUGGUUCUCCCCGAAAGCUAUUUAGGUAGCGCCUCGUGAAUUCAUCUCCGGGGGUAGAGCACUGUUUCGGCAAGGGGGUCAUCCCGACUUACCAACCCGAUGCAAACUGCGAAUACCGGAGAAUGUUAUCACGGGAGACACACGGCGGGUGCUAACGUCCGUCGUGAAGAGGGAAACAACCCAGACCGCCAGCUAAGGUCCCAAAGUCAUGGUUAAGUGGGAAACGAUGUGGGAAGGCCCAGACAGCCAGGAUGUUGGCUUAGAAGCAGCCAUCAUUUAAAGAAAGCGUAAUAGCUCACUGGUCGAGUCGGCCUGCGCGGAAGAUGUAACGGGGCUAAACCAUGCACCGAAGCUGCGGCAGCGACGCUGAUGCGUUGUUGGGUAGGGGAGCGUUCUGUAAGCCUGCGAAGGUGUGCUGUGAGGCAUGCUGGAGGUAUCAGAAGUGCGAAUGCUGACAUAAGUAACGAUAAAGCGGGUGAAAAGCCCGCUCGCCGGAAGACCAAGGGUUCCUGUCCAACGUUAAUCGGGGCAGGGUGAGUCGACCCCUAAGGCGAGGCCGAAAGGCGUAGUCGAUGGGAAACAGGUUAAUAUUCCUGUACUUGGUGUUACUGCGAAGGGGGGACGGAGAAGGCUAUGUUGGCCGGGCGACGGUUGUCCCGGUUUAAGCGUGUAGGCUGGUUUUCCAGGCAAAUCCGGAAAAUCAAGGCUGAGGCGUGAUGACGAGGCACU